UAAAGACAUACUGCUGAGCGAGACGGUUGGUUCCACAGUUUGGCUUCAACCUCGUCCAAUUCAUUUUGCUGAUUUUUCAAAUUAUGAAGUGCUGCACCUCCAGCAAAGAGUAACAUACCGAUUGGCAGGACCUUGUCCGAUACCGACUCAGUCCUUUUGUUUCUAUUAUUUUUGUGCCCACCCUGGUCAUUACUAUUUCCAGAGUUUUGCUGUGUCGUCCUACCAUCCCAACUACUUGUCAAAUGGUCACUGACACCAACUGGGCUUUCUCGCUGUGGAGAAACGACAGAACGUGGAAAACUAUGAAUAGGCGAGUUUGUUGUGUUUCUUCCUCGAAGAAAAAGAGCGUAGAGAUUCCAAAGGUUUCGUGCCAUAUUGACAAAAAGGCAUUUAAAAAGUCACACUAUACAAAAUUGGUGCUAUUUAGUAACUUUACAAACCAAACUCAUUAACAGAACGGGUAGUGGUAUCAACAACAUGGCGAUUAUGCGGCCUUCAUUGUACGUUCAACAGCAGGACGAUAUUUUUCAAUGCUUCAGUGGAAGCAGAAGCACAUAAUGACAUCUCCAUUGCACCCGAAUAUUGUAUGAAAAUUUUGUGGACUGACUGCAUCAUACACAAGAUAAUUCUCUCGAAACAGGUGAGCGAAAUUCAUCAAAAGUUAAUGUUAUCUUAUCAUUCUGAACGAUUACGACUCGGGGGUGAAUAAAUACUCGAUACUGGACCUGUGUCGUUUUAUAUAUAUGGAUGAUUAAUGGUUCCAACACGUCAGCAAAACCUUGAUUUCACAUCAUUAAUCAAAAUAUUUGUGUUGUAAAUGCAUAACCUGUUAGUGUAAGGUUUUUAACUGCAACGUUUUAAAACAGUCUUUGUAUACCGUUUGAACAAUAUAAAAAUUGCCAAAAAUUUAAUGUGGCGUAUAUUUAUAACAAUACAUUGGUACAGUCUAAAAUAUUUAUGCAAAUAUUUGUACCCUAUGUCAUACGAGUAUACAAAUAAAACGUUAUUUAACAGGU
Molecule: long non-coding RNA, 1016 nt
Organism: Folsomia candida
Lineage: Eukaryota; Metazoa; Arthropoda; Collembola; Entomobryomorpha; Isotomidae
Exons: 3
Source: RefSeq, a predicted model, not a curated record